AGUGAAUAGAUACCCUGGUAGUCCCAGCCGUAAACGAUGCUCGCUAGGUGUCAGGCAUGGCGCGACCGUGUCUGGUGCCGCAGGGAAGCCGUGAAGCGAGCCACCUGGGAAGUACGGCCGCAAGGCUGAAACUUAAAGGAAUUGGCGGGGGAGCACAACAACGGGUGGAGCCUGCGGUUUAAUUGGACUCAACGCCGGACAACUCACCGGGGGCGACAGCAAUAUGUAGGCCAAGCUGAAGACUUUGCCUGAAUCGCUGAGAGGAGGUGCAUGGCCGUCGCCAGUUCGUACUGUGAAGCAUCCUGUUAAGUCAGGCAACGAGCGAGACCCGUGCCCACUGUUACCAGCAUGUCCU
This 355-nucleotide ribosomal RNA is filed under the name uncultured bacterium. RNAcentral's name for it is "bacterial SSU rRNA". It matches the Rfam family "Archaeal small subunit ribosomal RNA", at positions 725 to 1078 of the family's 1478-position model. The record is from RNAcentral.